Molecule: ribosomal RNA, 293 nt
Filed under: uncultured prokaryote
Description: partial 16S ribosomal RNA
Rfam family: Archaeal small subunit ribosomal RNA
Source: RNAcentral
GUGCCAGCCGCCGCGGUAAUACCGGCAGCUCGAGUGAUGUCCAAUAUUAUUGGGCCUAAAGCGUCCGUAGCUGGCCAGCCAAGUUCGUCGGGAAAUCCACCUGCUCAACAGGUGGGCGUCCGGCGAAAACUGUCUGGCUUGGAACCGGAAGGCUCAGAGGGUACGUCGAGGGUAGGAGUGAAAUCCCGUAAUCCUCGACGGACCACCGAUGGCGAAAGCACUCUGAGAAGACGGCUUCGACAGUGAGGGACGAAAGCUAGGGUCUCAAACCGGAUUAGAAACCCCUGUAGUCC